This 216-nucleotide ribosomal RNA is filed under the name uncultured bacterium. RNAcentral's name for it is "partial 16S ribosomal RNA". It matches the Rfam family "Bacterial small subunit ribosomal RNA", at positions 30 to 250 of the family's 1533-position model. The record is from RNAcentral.
CGAACGCUGGCGGCGUGCUUAACACAUGCAAGUCGAGCGAUGAAGUUUCUUCGGAAAUGGAUUAGCGGCGAACGGGUGAGUAACACGUGAGGAAUCUGCCCUUCACUUUGGAAUAACUCCGGGAAACCGGAGCUAAUCCGGAUAGGACUCUGGCGGCAUCGCCGGAGUUGGAAAGUUUUUCGGUGUAAGGAUGACCUCGCGGCCUAUCAGCUUGUU